AAUAUUAGACAAUGGGGGCAACCCUGAUCCAGCCAUGCCGCGUGUGUGAAGAAGGUCUUCGGAUUNUCAAGCACUUUAAGUUGGGANGAAGGGCUUUAGGCUAAUACCAGGAAGUUUUGACGUUACCAACAGAAUAAGCACCGGCUAACUCUGUCCCAGCAGCCGCGGUAAUGCAGAGGGUGCAAGCGUUAAUCGGAAUUACUGGGCGUAAAGCGCGCGUAGGUGGUUCAGUAAGAUAGGUGUGGAAUCCCCGGGCUUAACCUGGGAACUGCUUUCAUAACUGCUGAGCUAGAGUACGGUAGAGGGUAGUGGAAUUUCCUGUGUGGCGGUGAAAUGCGUAGAUAUAGGAAGGAACACCAGUGGCGAAGGCGACUACCUGGACUGAUACUGACACUGAGGUGCGAAAGCGUGGGGAGCAAACA
RNAcentral lists this ribosomal RNA (422 nucleotides) under uncultured bacterium. Its description in RNAcentral is "partial 16S ribosomal RNA". It matches the Rfam family "Bacterial small subunit ribosomal RNA", at positions 360 to 774 of the family's 1533-position model. The record is from RNAcentral.